ACGGAGGGUGCAAGCGUUAAUCGGAAUUACUGGGCGUAAAGCGCACGUAGGCUGUAGUGUAAGUCAGGGGUGAAAUCCCACGGCUCAACCGUGGAACUGCCUUUGAUACUGCACAACUUGAAUCCGGGAGAGGGUGGCGGAAUUCCAGGUGGACGACUGCCAGCAGUAGAUAUGUGGAGGAACAUCAGUGGCGAAGGCGGCCACCAGGACCAGUAUUGAGGCUGAGCUAAGAAAGCGUGGGGAGCAAACAG
Molecule: ribosomal RNA, 251 nt
Filed under: uncultured prokaryote
Description: partial 16S rRNA
Rfam family: Bacterial small subunit ribosomal RNA
Source: RNAcentral